RNAcentral lists this ribosomal RNA (496 nucleotides) under uncultured bacterium. RNAcentral's name for it is "partial 16S ribosomal RNA". It matches the Rfam family "Bacterial small subunit ribosomal RNA", at positions 28 to 507 of the family's 1533-position model. The record is from RNAcentral.
GAUGAACGCUGGCGGCGUGCCUAAUACAUGCAAGUCGAGCGAACAGACGAGGAGCUUGCUCCUCUGACGUUAGCGGCGGACGGGUGAGUAACACGUGGAUAACCUACCUAUAAGACUGGGAUAACUUCGGGAAACCGGAGCUAAUACCGGAUAACAUGUUGAACCGCAUGGUUCAACAGUGAAAGACGGUCUUGCUGUCACUUAUAGAUGGAUCCGCGCCGCAUUAGCUAGUUGGUAAGGAACGGCUUACCAAGGCAACGAUGCGUAGCCGACCUGAGAGGGUGAUCGGCCACACUGGAACUGAGACACGGUCCAGACUCCUACGGGAGGCAGCAGUAGGGAAUCUUCCGCAAAGGGCGAAAGCCUGACGGAGCAACGCCGCGUGAGUGAAGAAGGUCUUCGGAUCGUAAAACUCUGUUAUUAGGGAAGAACAAAUGUGUAAGUAACUAUGCACGUCUUGACGGUACCUAAUCAGAAAGCCACGGCUAACUACGUG